This 467-nucleotide ribosomal RNA is filed under the name uncultured bacterium. RNAcentral's name for it is "partial 16S ribosomal RNA". It matches the Rfam family "Bacterial small subunit ribosomal RNA", at positions 28 to 507 of the family's 1533-position model. The record is from RNAcentral.
GACGAACGCUGGCGGCGUGCUUAACACAUGCCAGUCGAACGGAAAGGCCCUGCUUUUGUGGGGUGCUCGAGUGGCGAACGGGUGAGUAACACGUGAGUAACCUGCCCUUGACUUUGGGAUAACUUCAGGAAACUGGGGCUAAUACCGGAUAGGAGCUCCUGCUGCAUGGUGGGGGUUGGAAAGUUUCGGCGGUUGGGGCUGGACUCGCGGCUUAUCAGCUUGUUGGUGGGGAGUGGCUGACCAAGGCUUUGACGGGUAGCCGGCCUUGGAGGGUGACCGGGCACAUGGGGACUGAGAUACGGCCCAGACUCCUACGGGAGGCAGCAGUGGGGAAUAUUGCACAAUGGGCGGAAGCCUGAUGCAGCAACGCCGCGUGCGGGAUGACGGCCUUCGGGUUGUAAACCGCUUUCGCCGGUGACGAAGCGUGAGUGACGGUAAUGGGUAAAGAAGCACCGGCUAACUACGUG